RNAcentral lists this ribosomal RNA (520 nucleotides) under Kluyveromyces nonfermentans. RNAcentral's name for it is "partial large subunit ribosomal RNA". It matches the Rfam family "Eukaryotic large subunit ribosomal RNA", at positions 87 to 650 of the family's 3401-position model. Lineage: Eukaryota; Fungi; Ascomycota; Saccharomycetes; Saccharomycetales; Saccharomycetaceae. The record is from RNAcentral.
CGGCGAGUGAAGCGGCAAAAGCUCAAAUUUGAAAUCUGGCGUCUUCGGCGUCCGAGUUGUAAUUUGAAGAAGGUAACUUUGGGGCUGGUCCUUGUCUAUGUUCCUUGGAACAGGACGUCAUAGAGGGUGAGAAUCCCGUGUGGCGAGGAUCCCAGUCCUUUGUAAAGUGCUUUCGACGAGUCGAGUUGUUUGGGAAUGCAGCUCUAAGUGGGUGGUAAAUUCCAUCUAAAGCUAAAUAUUGGCGAGAGACCGAUAGCGAACAAGUACAGUGAUGGAAAGAUGAAAAGAACUUUGAAAAGAGAGUGAAAAAGUACGUGAAAUUGUUGAAAGGGAAGGGCAUUUGAUCAGACAUGGCGUUUGCUUCGGCUUUCGCUGGGCCAGCAUCAGUUUUGGCGGUUGGAUAAAUCCUCGGGAAUGUGGCUCUACUUGUAGAGUGUUAUAGCCCGUGGGAAUACAGCCAGCUGGGACUGAGGACUGCGACUUUUGUCAAGGAUGCUGGCGUAAUGGUUAUAUGCCGCCC